This 396-nucleotide ribosomal RNA is filed under the name uncultured bacterium. RNAcentral's name for it is "bacterial SSU rRNA". It matches the Rfam family "Bacterial small subunit ribosomal RNA", at positions 362 to 775 of the family's 1533-position model. The record is from RNAcentral.
UAUUGGACAAUGGGGGCAACCCUGAUCCAGCGACGCCGCGUGAGGGAAGAAGGUUUUCGGAUUGUAAACCUCUGUUGACGGAGAAAAAAAUGAUGGUAUCCGUUUAGAAAGCCACGGCUAACUACGUGCCAGCAGCCGCGGUAAUACGUAGGUGGCAAGCGUUGUCCGGAAUUACUGGGUGUAAAGGGAGUGUAGGCGGGAUAUCAAGUCAGAAGUGAAAAUUACGGGCUCAACUCGUAACCUGCUUUUGAAACUGACAUUCUUGAGUGAAGUAGAGGCAAGCGGAAUUCCUAGUGUAGCGGUGAAAUGCGUAGAUAUUAGGAGGAACACCAGUGGCGAAGGCGGCUUGCUGGGCUUUUACUGACGCUGAGGCUCGAAAGCGUGGGGAGCAAACAG